GCGGCAGGCUUAACACAUGCAAGUCGAGCGCCCCGCAAGGGGAGCGGCAGACGGGUGAGUAACGCGUGGGAAUCUACCCAUCUCUACGGAACAACUCCGGGAAACUGGAGCUAAUACCGUAUACGUCCUUCGGGAGAAAGAUUUAUCGGAGAUGGAUGAGCCCGCGUUGGAUUAGCUAGUUGGUGGGGUAAUGGCCUACCAAGGCGACGAUCCAUAGCUGGUCUGAGAGGAUGAUCAGCCACACUGGGACUGAGACACGGCCCAGACUCCUACGGGAGGCAGCAGUGGGGAAUAUUGGACAAUGGGCGCAAGCCUGAUCCAGCCAUGCCGCGUGAGUGAUGAAGGCCCUAGGGUUGUAAAGCUCUUUCAACGGUGAAGAUAAUGACGGUAACCGUAGAAGAAGCCCCGGCUAACUUCGUGCCAGCAGCCGCGGUAAUACGAAGGGGGCUAGCGUUGUUCGGAAUUACUGGGCGUAAAGCGCACGUAGGCGGAUACUUAAGUCAGGGGUGAAAUCCCGGGGCUCAACCCCGGAACUGCCUUUGAUACUGGGUAUCUCGAGUCCGGAAGAGGUGAGUGGAAUUCCGAGUGUAGAGGUGAAAUUCGUAGAUAUUCGGAGGAACACCAGUGGCG
Molecule: ribosomal RNA, 630 nt
Filed under: Mesorhizobium huakuii
Lineage: Bacteria; Pseudomonadati; Pseudomonadota; Alphaproteobacteria; Hyphomicrobiales; Phyllobacteriaceae
Description: bacterial SSU rRNA
Rfam family: Bacterial small subunit ribosomal RNA
Source: RNAcentral